RNAcentral lists this long non-coding RNA (700 nucleotides) under Amphimedon queenslandica. RNAcentral's name for it is "uncharacterized LOC109585339, transcript variant X6". Lineage: Eukaryota; Metazoa; Porifera; Demospongiae; Haplosclerida; Niphatidae. The record is from RNAcentral.
AAAAUUCGCAAUUAAUAGUACCCGCAUUUAAAAGUAACCUUAAGGUACUGAUAUAUUGCCCAUCCUUAUUGGUACUGCAUUUCUCUAUUCUCAUCGUUGUGUUCCUUGACCCCUAUUCUUGUAUAUCUUAAUUUGUCUCGUAUUGACAUUUCUUCCUCUCUUUUGCCUUCUCUCCUCCUAGUAUGUGUACAUGUACAUCUAACUUUUGCUCUUUCUCUUUUCUUCCUAUAUAGGAUUCUCCUAUCUCUUAUGUUCUUUGUCUUCUUGUGUAUAAUACAGUUCCUUACUGAUACUAUAAGCUUGUGUUAACACAUACACAUUGCGUGUCAAGAAUCAAGAUUCCAUUUCCGGCAAAAGAUGUGGGAGCAGAACUAUCCUAACAACAUGAUGUGCCGUUAACUACUCAUAAUCAAUAAACAGUUUGUUCCAUGGACAUUAACUUAUUACUUAGAGAAAAUGAUGUGUUGAGAUUAAUAUGCACUAAUGCAAUGUGUCACCAUUUUCUUGAUGCAUCAAGCUUAGGAGAUACUGAGGUCAUCAAUGAGUCUUGCAUUCAAGCUUGCUGUCUUUCAAAAUUAGGACACUGUACAUAAACUUGCAUUUUUGUGUUCUUUUUAUAAUGUUGUAAUUGUUUUUGUUACCUAAAAUAACUAUUCUUUAAUACUAUAAUGCGAUAGCAGUCCAUGAACUGAUGCCACAA